This 253-nucleotide ribosomal RNA is filed under the name uncultured bacterium. RNAcentral's name for it is "partial 16S ribosomal RNA". It matches the Rfam family "Bacterial small subunit ribosomal RNA", at positions 524 to 776 of the family's 1533-position model. The record is from RNAcentral.
UACAGAGGUCCCAAGCGUUGUUCGGAUUCACUGGGCGUAAAGGGUGCGUAGGUGGUGAGGUAAGUCGGAUGUGAAAUCUCCGAGCUCAACUCGGAAAUGGCAUUGGAAACUACCUUGCUCGAGGGUUGGAGGGGGGACUGGAAUGCUUGGUGUAGCAGUGAAAUGCGUAGAUAUCAAGCGGAACACCAGUGGCGAAGGCGAGUCCCUGGACAACUCCUGACACUGAGGAGCGAAAGCGUGGGGAGCGAACAGG